RNAcentral lists this ribosomal RNA (1375 nucleotides) under Chryseobacterium sp. PT238. RNAcentral's name for it is "bacterial SSU rRNA". It matches the Rfam family "Bacterial small subunit ribosomal RNA". The record is from RNAcentral. Lineage: Bacteria; Pseudomonadati; Bacteroidota; Flavobacteriia; Flavobacteriales; Weeksellaceae.
CGAGCGGUAUGGAUCUUUCGGGAUCCAGAGAGCGGCGUACGGGUGCGGAACACGUGUGCAACCUGCCUUUAUCAGGGGGAUAGCCUUUCGAAAGGAAGAUUAAUACCCCAUAAUAUUUAGAAUGGCAUCAUUUUAAAUUGAAAACUCCGGUGGAUAGAGAUGGGCACGCGCAAGAUUAGAUAGUUGGUGAGGUAACGGCUCACCAAGUCUGCGAUCUUUAGGGGGCCUGAGAGGGUGAUCCCCCACACUGGUACUGAGACACGGACCAGACUCCUACGGGAGGCAGCAGUGAGGAAUAUUGGACAAUGGGUGCGAGCCUGAUCCAGCCAUCCCGCGUGAAGGACGACGGCCCUAUGGGUUGUAAACUUCUUUUGUAUAGGGAUAAACCUACCCUCGUGAGGGUAGCUGAAGGUACUAUACGAAUAAGCACCGGCUAACUCCGUGCCAGCAGCCGCGGUAAUACGGAGGGUGCAAGCGUUAUCCGGAUUUAUUGGGUUUAAAGGGUCCGUAGGCUGAUGUGUAAGUCAGUGGUGAAAUCUCACAGCUUAACUGUGAAACUGCCAUUGAUACUGCAUGUCUUGAGUGUUGUUGAAGUAGCUGGAAUAAGUAGUGUAGCGGUGAAAUGCAUAGAUAUUACUUAGAACACCCAUUGCGAAGGCAGGUUACUAAGCAACAACUGACGCUGAUGGACGAAAGCGUGGGGAGCGAACAGGAUUAGAUACCCUGGUAGUCCACGCCGUAAACGAUGCUAACUCGUUUUUGGGUUUUCGGAUUCAGAGACUAAGCGAAAGUGAUAAGUUAGCCACCUGGGGAGUACGAACGCAAGUUUGAAACUCAAAGGAAUUGACGGGGGCCCGCACAAGCGGUGGAUUAUGUGGUUUAAUUCGAUGAUACGCGAGGAACCUUACCAAGGCUUAAAUGGGAAAUGACAGGUUUAGAAAUAGACUUUUCUUCGGACAUUUUUCAAGGUGCUGCAUGGUUGUCGUCAGCUCGUGCCGUGAGGUGUUAGGUUAAGUCCUGCAACGAGCGCAACCCCUGUCACUAGUUGCCAUCAUUAAGUUGGGGACUCUAGUGAGACUGCCUACGCAAGUAGAGAGGAAGGUGGGGAUGACGUCAAAUCAUCACGGCCCUUACGCCUUGGGCCACACACGUAAUACAAUGGCCGGUACAGAGGGCAGCUACACAGUGAUGUGAUGCAAAUCUCGAAAGCCGGUCUCAGUUCGGAUUGGAGUCUGCAACUCGACUCUAUGAAGCUGGAAUCGCUAGUAAUCGCGCAUCAGCCAUGGCGCGGUGAAUACGUUCCCGGGCCUUGUACACACCGCCCGUCAAGCCAUGGAAGUCUGGGGUACCUGAAGUCGGUGACCGUAACAGGAGC